GAAAUUCCGAACACAGAUCCUGCAGAAAUGUAGAGCAUACCUUCAAUCCAAUGAUGUCCCUGUAGUACAGCAUAAAGGAGAAGAGGUUAAAGCUAUUUGCUGUGCCUGACACAAGGAUCUCAAAGCACAUUUGGAAAAAGCAAAGUAUCAGAUCAAAUUUGUAAAAGGGCCUGUCAGUCACAAUUUGACUGCAUUCUGUUCAUUCUUUUGACCAAUCUUAAACCAAGGAGCCCCUCUGGCGGGGUCCAUAUCUUCAAGAGCACCCAAAGGAAACUCAUGCAGACAUGGGAGAAUGUGCAAACACCAGACAGACAUCGCCAGAGGGUGGAAUCGAACCGGGAUCCCAUGCUCUGCCACUGUGUCACUCAGUUAAAAUCCCAAAAAUACAACUUUUUCACUUUGAUAAAGAAAUCGUAGUCUACUAACAUCAUACUGUAACAAGAAUGUUGAUGUAUAUUACUUGUUUUACAUAUUUUUGUGAAGAA
This is a non-coding RNA of Chiloscyllium plagiosum (whitespotted bambooshark), 485 nucleotides long. The record is from RefSeq and is a predicted model, not a curated record. NCBI's taxonomy places the organism in Eukaryota, Metazoa, Chordata, Chondrichthyes, Orectolobiformes, Hemiscylliidae.